Amphimedon queenslandica is the source of this 886-nucleotide long non-coding RNA. RefSeq lists it as uncharacterized. The record is from RefSeq and is a predicted model, not a curated record. The transcript is spliced from 3 exons. Lineage: Eukaryota; Metazoa; Porifera; Demospongiae; Haplosclerida; Niphatidae.
AUGGUGUGAUGUCAUGUGAUCAUUACUAGGUGAAGUCAUUGGCGGAUUGUGCAAGUGGGAUGGUGUAAGUGUCUAUGAAGAAUUAAGAGACGUCUUGUUGAGUGGAAUAAAGAAUAACAUAGUGAGGGAGCUCGAUCCUACCGAUCAUGCUGAACUGGUCAAGAAACUACAAGAGGAUAAUACUAGUGAAGACCAAGAGGAGAACAGAAGUGCUAGUCCUUCACCUCCUCCUACAGCUUCUAAUGUCUUUCAUGAAACAGCUGGUUGGAAGAGCUUAGAGACUUACAUGAAUGCUCUACAGUAUGCUGUUGAAGGUUGUGGCAGCUCAUUUGAGCCACACAUUACAUCAGAGCUCCUUGAUCUUCUCUUCACUGCACUGGAACACAUCAACAGGUUUGUACGUGAGACAGGAUAUAAGGUCCUCGCUGCCAUUGUCAAGUGUCCGGGUAAGAAGUAAAUGUACAAUGUAGACUUGAGUGCAUGUGCAAUGUACAUGUACAUGUAGUUACUAGUGUUAAAGCAGGGUUUCCCAUAGAAUUUUGCAUAGUGCUAAUGCAGGCUCUUGUCAGUGGAUUUUGAAUUUUUCCCGAAAUUUGAUUGUACAAAUUCUGCAUGUGGUAGCAAACUUAUUUAUUAUUAAUGAUGGAAAGUAAUUGAUUUUAGUGAGAACAAGCCAAAUUGUAAAUCUCUUGUUUGAGCUCUGUUGCAACAAUUAUUCAAAAUACCAUGCAUACCACCUUCUUUCUCACCUUCUCUCUCUCUCACCCUCCAAUGAAUUUAGAAAUUUUUUUUAAGUUGUUAAAAAUCAGACAGAAAUUAUAAGGAGAGAAUUCUCAAUUUGUAUAAUUUUUUCUGAUACAUAUACAUGUACAUGUAUGUAUAUUCC